UGCUAGUUGUACGAGUUCAGACUCGUAGCAAAUAGCUCCGUAACACGUGGCCAAACCACCCUUCAGAGAACGAUAACCUCGGGAAACUGAGGCUAAUAGUUCAUACCCGUUUCAGGCUGGAAUGCCGAAACGCGCAAACGUUCCGACGCUGAAGGACGUGGCUGCGGCCGAUUAGGUAGACGGUGGGGUAACGGCCCACCGUGCCGAUAAUCGGUACGGGUUGUGAGAGCAAGAACCCGGAGACGGAAUCUGAGACAAGAUUCCGGGCCCUACGGGGCGCAGCAGGCGCGAAACCUUUACACUGCACGCAAGUGCGAUAAGGGGACCCCGAGUGCGAGGGCAUACAGUCCUCGCUUUUCACUACCGUACGAUGGUAGUAGAAUAAGAGCUGGGCAAGACCGGUGCCAGCCGCCGCGGUAAUACCGGCAGCUCGAGUGAUGGCCGAUCUUAUUGGGCCUAAAGCGUUCGUAGCCGGCCAUGCAAGUUCAUCGGGAAAUCCGCCAGCCUAACUGGCGGGCGUCCGGUGAAAACUGUGUGGCUUGGGACCGGAAGACCCAACGGGUACGUCUUGGGUAGGAGUGAAAUCCUGUAAUCCUGGACGGACCACCGAUAGCGAAAGCACGUUGGGAAGACGGAUCCGACGGUGAGGGACGAAAGCCAGGGUCUCGAACCGGAUUAGAUACCCGGGUAGUCCUGGCCGUAAACGAUGUCUGCUAGGUGUGACUCCCGCUACGAGCGGGUGUUGUGCCGUAGGGAAGCCGCUAAGCAGACCGCCUGGGAAGUACGUCCGCAAGGAUGAAACUUAAAGGAAUUGGCGGGGGAGCACUACAACCGGAGGAGCCUGCGGUUUAAUUGGACUCAACGCCGGACAUCUCACCAGCAUCGACAGCAACAAUGACGACCAGGUUGAUGACCUUGUCAGAGCUGCUGAGAGGAGGUGCAUGGGCGCCGUCAGCUCGUACCGUGAGGCGUCCUGUUAAGUCAGGCAACGAGCGAGA
Molecule: ribosomal RNA, 998 nt
Filed under: Haloplanus sp. LpH3
Lineage: Archaea; Methanobacteriati; Methanobacteriota; Halobacteria; Halobacteriales; Haloferacaceae
Description: bacterial SSU rRNA
Rfam family: Archaeal small subunit ribosomal RNA
Source: RNAcentral